CAACUGACAUGAUCAUUGUUUUACAUUACAGUAAUUGGGCCAAUUUCCCACGCUGUCCAGAGAAAGCGGGGUUGCAGAGCGAAUGAUUUAGCUACACCCAGAGAGCUCAGGGGCGUAUUCAUUACGCGGAUUCUGUUGAAAAACAUUCUUAAACGGAAGCAAACAGAACGAAACGGGGAGGGACCUGUCUGAAUUUCUCCAAUAGAAACUCCAGUUUUGGACUAAUGAUUACACCCAAGUAUACGCAAUAAUUGGGUUUGACUUUGGAACGUAUAGGCUCUACCAUUGGACAGAAUUUUCACUGUGAUGACGGACUGUACACAGCCAAAAAAGUACGAUAUUUACCAUCACGCAUGAUACAUUACAUUGGUCCAAUGGGGGACAAGCCAGUGCGCGUGAACAGAAACUCUGUGACUAUAUGUCAACUGCAUGACCUUUACAACAACCAAUUCCUCCUCACCAACUGCAUCUCGAAGUCAGAACCAAGGCAUUGUGGAAGACAACCAGUUUUUUGGGAAGCAAAAGGCACUACAUUCACAAAAAUGCUUAAUGUCGCCAACUAACAUGGGUUAUUAUCAAUGCAUGUUUAUUGUUUUGGAUGGAUGACUAUUUAGAGCUUAAAUUCAUCUUUAUCCGUUCAAUCUAAUUACAUAGGCCUACAUGUGAUCCACAUUUCUAAAUUAAAUACGUGAAAUAUCCUACUUGCGACAAUAUAGCUAAUGUAUUUAUCUAGAUGUUGUUGUAAUGCUGUGUCCUAUGUUAUAGCAUAACAUUUGUCUGGUCUGUAAUAUUGUUAUCACCAAACAAAUUCACAUUUGUUGAUUGUCUAUCAAGUGUGAAUACAAUUGAAUACAUAUUGUAGGCUACACAUGGGUUAUUGUAGGGGAUUUCUACACUGGCAAUGUUAAAGGCUUAGUCUGAGCAUGUACCCCAGACUCGGGGUAAAUACCAAGUGCAUUUGACUGCUUGGCAUGUUGUUUACCCAGUAAUUUAUGUGAACUAAUGUACAUGUAUAAUCUAAUCCUUUUCUGUGCAGUGAGUGUUUUGUCCUUCCUGUGAUUGAAUCAAAUUCUGUUCUUUACAUGCUUACUGACAAAAGCAUCAUACAGGUUGAGCAUUAAAUAAAUACAAUCCAGGCUGUAGUGAUGCUGACAUGCAAUAAAUUACCAUACGGUAAGAAUCUUUGUGGACUCCAUUUAAUCACAUCUGUUACAAUUCCAUUUUGCACGAUCAAAAAUAAUAGUGGCAUGAUGUAAUGGGAAACAGCAGAGAAUAUCCCAUAUGCUGCAAAAACACCUAUGUUCUCAUUCUAGUAGCCCAUGAACUACCUGGUUAUAUUUUGAGAAAAACAUCACAAAAAUACAAAACAAGUCUUGUGAAUGCUAGAAAGAGCUUGGGC
Molecule: long non-coding RNA, 1399 nt
Filed under: Oncorhynchus kisutch (coho salmon)
Lineage: Eukaryota; Metazoa; Chordata; Actinopteri; Salmoniformes; Salmonidae
Description: lncRNA (ENSOKIG00005041408.1)
Source: RNAcentral